Rattus norvegicus (Norway rat) is the source of this 296-nucleotide non-coding RNA. NCBI's taxonomy places the organism in Eukaryota, Metazoa, Chordata, Mammalia, Rodentia, Muridae. The record is from RefSeq and is a predicted model, not a curated record.
CAGACAUUCCUCACAAUGACCGCAGCCUCAGAACCAUCACUUCCUCACCACCGCCCCACAACUGCCACCUCUCCACAUGUGCCACCGUGUGAUUGACAUCCUCUGCUCCAUCCCCACCACCAUCUCUCACUUGCCACCAUCCCUGUCACUCCGUCUUCAUGCCCAUGAACGGUUCACAGUAUGACAGUGCUGACCAGAGUGCUUCUGAAAGCAGCUAAAUUGGACGAGGAAGGCCGGUGAGCACCUUCACCAUGCUUGGCUACAACAUAUGAGAACCGUUAUCUUUAUUCACUUCA